Helianthus annuus (common sunflower) is the source of this 1032-nucleotide RNA transcript. It is a transcript of the gene named monosaccharide-sensing protein 1-like, with no coding region annotated. Lineage: Eukaryota; Viridiplantae; Streptophyta; Magnoliopsida; Asterales; Asteraceae. The record is from RefSeq and is a predicted model, not a curated record. The transcript has 4 exons.
CUCGUUCUUCAAUUCGGUUUUCAAAAAAUAUCAUCAACACCACCCCUAACCCUAAUUGAAUCACACACAUAGUUACUUAUCAGCCACCAUCGGAGGAAAUAUGCACUUUCUCUUUUGAGAUUCACUUCAGUAUGUUCCAUCUAUGCACAAAUGAUGGAUCCAAUGGUGACUCUAUUCGGAAGUGUUCACGAGAAACAGAACGAAACCGGAAGCAUGAUCUUCCCAAAUUUCGGAAGCAUGUUUCAUGGCGAUCAGCAUAAACCCGGAUGUAGAGAGUAAUCACGAAAAUGGGAACAUAUCCGUGGACGAAACUAAUGAUAAUGUAAAAACCCCGUUGCUAUCGCUUAAUUCAACUAGUGUAGAUAAAGACAUGAUUGCUCCGGUUUCUAGGAGUAUGUUAAACACAGAUCAGCCUAGCGAGUCGAAUAGUGUGAUAGGGAUUGGUGGUGGGUGGCAGUUGGCGUAUACAAAGACCGAAGACGGGAAGAAAGCGGGCGGGUUGCAGCGGAUUUACUUGCACCAGGAGGGUGGUGCAGAAUCCAGACGCGGGUCCAUUGCUUCACUCCCGGUUGCGGAUGAUGGUGACGGGGUUCGGGCCUCGGCUCUUGUUAGUAGAUCAGUUCUUUGUUUAGAUGAUACGAUGGGUCAGAACCCGAUUCAGUCGGGUCUGAUCAAACCACAACAGUCUACUAAAGAUGUGACAAGUUGGGCUGAUCUUUCCAAGCUGGUAUUAAACAAGCAUUGAUUGUUGGUGUUGGGAUUCAAAUACUACAACAGGUUUACGGUCACAUUUACAUGCUACUAAGCUGUUUCAGCUAAAUAUUCUUCAUUUGACAGCGUUUUCAAUCGGAUUCAACUAUCGCUAAGCUGUUUUAUCGUUCGGAUUGGGCAUCCUACUAUUUUGGCUAUGCGUUAUUCGAUUUGUGUUUAUGUAUGAACUUGGCGUCGCUGCAAGCGAUGAGAUGAUUUUUCCUUUUAUUUCACAUGUAGCUCUAGUGUUUGGUUUCCUGUCAACAUUAUUUGGUAUCGGUG